Molecule: ribosomal RNA, 303 nt
Filed under: uncultured bacterium
Lineage: Bacteria
Description: partial 16S ribosomal RNA
Rfam family: Bacterial small subunit ribosomal RNA
Source: RNAcentral
AGCAGUGCCGCGGUAAUACGGAGGGUGCAAGCGUUAUCCGGAUUUAUUGGGUUUAAAGGGUCCGUAGGCGGAUCUGUAAGUCAGUGGUGAAAUCUCACAGCUUAACUGUGAAACUGCCAUUGAUACUGCAGGUCUUGAGUAAAUUUGAAGUGGCUGGAAUAAGUAGUGUAGCGGUGAAAUGCAUAGAUAUUACUUAGAACACCAAUUGCGAAGGCAGGUCACUAAGAUUUAACUGACGCUGAUGGACGAAAGCGUGGGGAGCGAACAGGAUUAGAUACCCGUGUAGUCCCUGUCUCUUAUACA